Molecule: long non-coding RNA, 1096 nt
Organism: Osmerus eperlanus (European smelt)
Lineage: Eukaryota; Metazoa; Chordata; Actinopteri; Osmeriformes; Osmeridae
Exons: 3
Source: RefSeq, a predicted model, not a curated record
GAAAAAUAAAUUACAAUAAAUUAAUGUGAAGGAUAUAUGUAGGAACAACAUUACACAUGCAAUAAACACUUUACACUAGUUGAUCAGUGUCCCCUAGGGUGGUCCUCCUUUCAUCCCUUUACUUAUCUCCUGCUGGUCUAUAAUCUCACAAUGCAUUUGGUUGUGAACUUGUAUUUUAAUUGAAUUACAACCUAUUCUGACAUGCUAACGAGAACAUGCAGAACAUGUUGUAGAUACCUGUCCAACACUUUGUGGACACAGUCCUUGAUGUUCCGCCCACCAACUCUUGAAAUUUGCAGCACCUGUUGGAAUAAGUCCAUAAUAAAGUUGACUGACACUAGGGCUGAACGAUUAUUGGAAAAUAAGAUCAUUGCGAUUAUUUUGACUAAUAUUGCAAUUGCAAUUCUUGUGCUGCCUUCCUUCGUUUAAUUUGUUUUAGGUUGAAACCAUACAUUGUUCGUUUGGUUUGCAUUGAGAUACAUUGUGUGUGUCGCCCCCUAUGGAAUGUAUUUGGUACCUAGGAUGCACGGGCGGGAAAUGAAAACGUCCCCAGUUGAAGAGCAAGACGCGCAGUUGAACUCAGCUGUUGUUGUGGUUAUUGUCUUAUUACGUUUUUGCCUUGGACACUAUUUAUCUAUUUUCAGCUAUGAGCUUUGAAGCGAGAGCAGCCUUUCAAAUUCUCUCACUAACUUCAAUGGAGAGGUCAUGCAGAGGCCUGCUCAACAGAGUUCAAUAGAGGAUGCUGAGAGCAACAACAGAGAAUGCUGAGAGCAUCACAGACCCCUUGCUGGACUAUCCCUCUCUAGCUGGACAGCUUCAUUCACCUGCCCUGCCCUGCCUGCAGGCCCUACUUGCCCCUGCCUGCCAGCCUUCCAGAGACAGACAGUCACCCCACAGACACAGUAGCUCUGCAGACUGCUUUUUUGAGGACAUUGAUGAAAAAGGACAAACCAGCAUUUUUUACUUUGAUGAAAGUCUAAAUGUUUAAUCCUUUCCAUGUCCCAGUAUGCCAAGCUGCUGACUGAGUGUCUUAAGUGAUGAAACCAGUUCAAGUGAUAGACUUUUGACCUGAAUCCAAUGAUUAUUCAUCUGAAUA